Molecule: ribosomal RNA, 313 nt
Filed under: Digitipes barnabasi
Lineage: Eukaryota; Metazoa; Arthropoda; Chilopoda; Scolopendromorpha; Scolopendridae
Description: partial 28S ribosomal RNA
Rfam family: Eukaryotic large subunit ribosomal RNA
Source: RNAcentral
AACCCUAAGGCGCAAUGAAAGUGAAGGUCAGGCACAGCACUGACUGAGGCAGGAUCCGUCCGGGUGAGCGAAGCUCUUCUUCCUUUCGCGGGUUCGUCCCGCGGGGGAGCUCGGCGGCGCACUGCCAGCCCAUCUCGGCCGCUUCCUGUCGGCGAGGUGGAGCUAGAGCGCACACGUUGGGACCCGAAAGAUGGUGAACUAUGCUCGGGCAGGACGAAGCCAGAGGAAACUCUGGUGGAGGUCCGUAGCGAUUCUGACGUGCAAAUCGAUCGUCGGACCCGAGUAUAGGGGCGAAAGACUAAUCGAACCGUCU